RNAcentral lists this unclassified non-coding RNA (376 nucleotides) under uncultured bacterium. RNAcentral describes it as "contains 16S-23S intergenic spacer region". The record is from RNAcentral.
UCUCUACUUGCGUAGGCAGUCUCACUAGAGUCCUCAACUGAAUGUUAGCAACUAGUGACAGGGGUUGCGCUCGUUGCAGGACUUAACCUAACACCUCACGGCACGAGCUGACGACAACCAUGCAGCACCUGUGACGGUGUCCCGAAGGAAAACCGUGUUUCCACGGCUGUCACCGACAUGUCAAGCCCAGGUAAGGUUCUUCGCGUCGCAUCGAAUUAAACCACAUGCUCCACCGCUUGUGCGGGCCCCCGUCAAUUCCUUUGAGUUUCAGCCUUGCGGCCGUACUCCCCAGGCGGGGUACUUCCUGCGUUAGCGCCGGCACCCAAGGGGUCGCUCCCCCAGGCACCUAGUACCCAUCGUUUACGGCGUGGACUAC